GGACGGCAGCGCGGGGGCAACCCUGGCGGCGAGUGGCGAACGGGUGAGUAAUACAUCGGAACGUGUCCAGUAGUGGGGGAUAGCCCGGCGAAAGCCGGAUUAAUACCGCAUACGAUCUUGGGAUGAAAGCGGGGGAUCGAAAGACCUCGCGCUAUUGGGGCGGCCGAUGGCAGAUUAGGUAGUUGGUGGGGUAAAGGCCUACCAAGCCGACGAUCUGUAGCUGGUAUGAGAGGACGACCAGCCACACUGGGACUGAGACACGGCCCAGACUCCUACGGGAGGCAGCAGUGGGGAAUUUUGGACAAUGGGGGCAACCCUGAUCCAGCAAUGCCGCGUGAGUGAAGAAGGCCUUCGGGUUGUAAAGCUACUUUUGUCCGGGAAGAAAGCCCUCGCCCUAACAUGGUGGGGGGAUGACGGUACCGGAAGAAUAAGCACCGGCUAACUACGUGCCAGCAGCCGCGGUAAU
RNAcentral lists this ribosomal RNA (466 nucleotides) under uncultured bacterium. RNAcentral's name for it is "bacterial SSU rRNA". It matches the Rfam family "Bacterial small subunit ribosomal RNA", at positions 64 to 524 of the family's 1533-position model. The record is from RNAcentral.